RNAcentral lists this ribosomal RNA (497 nucleotides) under uncultured bacterium. RNAcentral's name for it is "partial 16S ribosomal RNA". It matches the Rfam family "Bacterial small subunit ribosomal RNA", at positions 28 to 507 of the family's 1533-position model. The record is from RNAcentral.
GAUGAACGCUGGCGGCGUGCCUAAUACAUGCAAGUCGAGCGAACAGACGAGGAGCUUGCUCCUCUGACGUUAGCGGCGGACGGGUGAGUAACACGUGGAUACCCUACCUAUAAGACUGGGAUAACUUCGGGAAACCGGAGCUAAUACCGGAUAAUAUAUUGAACCGCAUGGUUCAAUAGUGAAAGACGGUUUUGCUGUCACUUAUAGAUGGAUCCGCGCCGCAUUAGCUAGUUGGUAAGGUAACGGCUUACCAAGGCAACGAUGCGUAGCCGACGUGAGAGAGUGAUAGGCGACAUGGGAGCGGGGACACGGUCAAGGCGCCUGAGGGAGGCAGCAGUAGGGAAUCUGACGCAAUGGGCGAAAGCAUGACGGAGCAACGCCGCGUGAGUGAUGAAGGUCUUCGGAGCGUAAAACUCUGUUAUUAGGGAAGAACAGAUGUGUAAGUAACUAUGCACGUAUUGACGGUACCUAAUCAGAAAGCCACGGCUAACUACGUG